UAGGGAAUCUUCCACAAUGGACGCAAGUCUGAUGGAGCAACGCCGCGUGAGUGAAGAAGGUUUUCGGAUCGUAAAGCUCUGUUGUUGGUGAAGAAGGAUAGAGGUAGUAACUGGCCUUUAUUUGACGGUAAUCAACCAGAAAGUCACGGCUAACUACGUGCCAGCAGCCGCGGUAAUACGUAGGUGGCAAGCGUUGUCCGGAUUUAUUGGGCGUAAAGCGAGCGCAGGCGGAAGAAUAAGUCUGAUGUGAAAGCCCUCGGCUUAACCGAGGAACUGCAUCGGAAGCUGUCUUUCUUGAGUGCAGAAGAGUAGAGUGGAAUUCCAUGUGUAGCGGUGGAAUGCGUAGAUAUAUGGAAGAACACCAGUGGCGAAGGCGACUCUCUGGUCUGCAACUGACGCUGAGGCUCGAAAGCAUGGGUAGCGAACAGG
Molecule: ribosomal RNA, 429 nt
Filed under: bacterium
Lineage: Bacteria
Description: partial 16S ribosomal RNA
Rfam family: Bacterial small subunit ribosomal RNA
Source: RNAcentral